UUUACCUUGUCCCUUUUGAAUUGCAGGCUCCACACUGACUCGUUCAGGUAGUUCCAGCAGACCUAGAAAGUCAAUCUUCAUCUCUUCUUGAGACAAACGAAAGAGGCUAAAAGAAAAACUYGCAAAAUCUUUGUUGACCCUUCGUAGUGAGGAUGCUGGUGGGACCCCAUCUCUGGAUUUAGGAAAUAGCCUGCCUUUAGAAAAUAGUUACUCCUGAGCUUUCCAGACGCGGCUCAGGAUGAGGUGGGAGCCCCGUCCUGGCUUUGGGAAGCCCUCGAGGUCUGACCCGGCUCUUYGCUGGCGCUCCUGGCCCGCCGGCACACCGGCUCCCCGAGGCAGGGUUAUCGCCUGUUCGCGCGGCGCUUGGAUGUGCGCAGAGUAUUACAGGAUGAACUAAAAUAUCCUGUGUUAAAAAGACCGGGUGAAAUUAGCUUCUCCGCAUGGGAAGUGCUCUGUACCGCCAGGGUCCCGGCGCCAUUCCCGCAGUGGGAGGAGCGGAGCUCCCGGCCUCCCUGGGACUCGGUCCCGGAUACGGCCCGAGGGAAAACAGAAAUAUGCCCAUGGCACCUUGAAACGGCGUGCCUCUCGCCCUCGGGGCCUUUGGGUUGGCAAUCCUUGCCAGGGGUCUCCGCUCGGACGUGGCACGCUGUGAGAGCUGGGAGCUUCGCUGAAAAGGACCCAUGGAAGAGGUCGGUAUGGAAAACUUAUACGGGCGCYGCUCUGGGCCAGAUCUGGAAGAAACUGUUAACUCUGUGAACAAAGUAUUGUCUGAGCGCGCUUUUCUGACGCUAUAUACGAAUGAAGCCUUGGGAUUUCUUGUGCUCUGGUUCUAAUGCAAGGUUUAAAAAGAGGUCUGUCUUAAAAUACACGUUUUGCUGUCCAGGCAAAAAUGAAUGAUCUGCAUAUUUCAGUGGUAAUGUUGAUGCUCUGGGAGGGCUCCUGCUGCUGGGCUUUCACCAGGCUGCUGUGUUUAGGGUUCAGGCUGCAUCUGUCUGGAUUUUUCACCUUCCUUCAUGGAUCCGACUCUAUUCAUAGUCCUUUCAAUAACAGUCCUAUAUACGUUUUUCACUGCUAUUUUCACAUUGGCAUUUAAUCCAUCAGCAUCUUCAGUUCAGGUCUUGUACUUCUUGCAGGUCCGGGUUUGAUUUUAACGCCCCAGCGCAGGCCUUUUGUACUUCCCUGCAGCCCAAGCGGCCGCGUUGGGCCCGGCCCCGCGGCAGCGCGGAGAGGUCGCCCCAGCCCGGCCCGGGAGCCCCGGCGCAGCGUAGGGGGGCGCCGGGCACUGGGGGGCCGGGGCAGGAUGCCCUCAUUCGCUCUCCAAGUAGCAUUUUGCAUUUAGGUUUCGCUGACAGGGAGUACCCUGCACCUAAGCAGAAAAAAAUAAAAUUUGCAUGUAUGGGGGUUUGCA
Molecule: long non-coding RNA, 1408 nt
Organism: Apteryx rowi (Okarito brown kiwi)
Lineage: Eukaryota; Metazoa; Chordata; Aves; Apterygiformes; Apterygidae
Source: Ensembl